UGGUAACCAUAGCGUUUUGGACCCACCUGACCCCAUGCCGAACUCAGUAGUGAAACGAAACAGCGCCGAUGAUAGUGUA
RNAcentral lists this ribosomal RNA (79 nucleotides) under Pseudoalteromonas sp. P1-7a. The record is from RNAcentral. Lineage: Bacteria; Pseudomonadati; Pseudomonadota; Gammaproteobacteria; Alteromonadales; Pseudoalteromonadaceae.